This 774-nucleotide ribosomal RNA is filed under the name uncultured Neocallimastigales. Its description in RNAcentral is "partial large subunit ribosomal RNA". It matches the Rfam family "Eukaryotic large subunit ribosomal RNA", at positions 24 to 637 of the family's 3401-position model. The record is from RNAcentral. Lineage: Eukaryota; Fungi; Neocallimastigomycota; Neocallimastigomycetes; Neocallimastigales.
UACGACUACAUAUCAGGCAUAUCAAUAAGCGGAGGAAAAGAAACUAACAAGGAUUCCCUUAGUAACGGCGAGUGAAGCGGGAAGAGCUCAAAUUUGAAAUCUUCAAGGUUUUACCUUGACGAAUUGUAGUUUAAAGAAGUGUUUUCUGUUGAAGUUUCGGUAAAAGUUCUUUGGAAUAGGACAUCAUAGAGGGUGAGAAUCCCGUAUUUGACCAUUUCUUCCAGCUGUGUGAUACACUUUCAAAGAGUCGGAUUGUUUGGGAAUGCAGUCCAAAAUGGGUGGUAAAUUUCAUCUAAAGCUAAAUAUUGGCGAGAGACCGAUAGCGAACAAGUACCGUGAGGGAAAGAUGAAAAGAACUUUGAAAAGAGAGUUAAACAGUACGUGAAAUUGUCAAAAGGGAAGCGUUUGACACCAGUGUUGUUUUCUCGAAAAUCAAUUAAAAAUGACCGGAUUUUGUGUUGUAUUGACUUUAUCAGCUUUCUGCACUUUUUUCUUGUCUUUUUUAAUGCACUUUUCGUUUAACAAGUCAACAUCAAUUUCUUUUGUUGUAAAAGGGUCAUUGGAAGGUGGCUUUCACUUCGGUGAAAGUGUUUAUAGCCUUUGACUUCUGCAAUCGGAGAGAUUGAGGUCUGCAGCGUAGAUCCUUCGGGGUUAGAUACAUUUGUGCUAAGUUAUAGUUUUUCAUAGACAACAUGUUGACUAUGAUUAAUCAUGUAGCUUACUCGCUUAUGCUAUUUUACCUACGCUUAGGAUGUUGACGCGCGUGUGUGCGUG